GGUUCCAUAGUACAGUGGUUAGCACGUCUGCUUUGCACGCAGAAGGUCCCGGGUUCACACCCCAGGGGAGCCA
Molecule: non-coding RNA, 73 nt
Organism: Pteropus alecto (black flying fox)
Lineage: Eukaryota; Metazoa; Chordata; Mammalia; Chiroptera; Pteropodidae
Source: Rfam